This 200-nucleotide ribosomal RNA is filed under the name uncultured Pseudomonas sp. RNAcentral describes it as "partial 16S ribosomal RNA". It matches the Rfam family "Bacterial small subunit ribosomal RNA", at positions 309 to 501 of the family's 1533-position model. The record is from RNAcentral. Lineage: Bacteria; Pseudomonadati; Pseudomonadota; Gammaproteobacteria; Pseudomonadales; Pseudomonadaceae.
UACGCGGCAAGCGAGACAGGGUCCAGACGCCUACGGGAGGCAGCAGUGGGGAAUAUUGGACAAUGGGCGAAAGCCUGAUCCAGCCAUGCCGCGUGUGUGAAGAAGGUCUUCGGAUUGUAAAGCACUUUAAGUUGGGAGGAAGGGCAGUUACCUAAUACGUGAUUGUUUUGACGUUACCGACAGAAUAAGCACCGGCUAAC